GGCACCGCCCUCUGCUGUGUCUCCUCUGCUAACAUCCUCCCGGCUAAAGUGAGUGGCUGGCUGAGCCCAGAGUCCCAGGAGGUGGGCACGACGACCCUGGAUGGCACAGGCUGAGGAGGCAGGGAGGGUUGUGGCACGUGGGAUGCUGCCUCAGCGCGGUUUGAUGAGCAGUGCCAUGUCCACGCCCAGGAUUCGAACCAACGAAACACUGGGCCGCCUGCAGCAGAGUGUGCGACUUAACCACUCCGCCAUGGGGCCAGCCCCAUGGGAGCUUACACUUUUGAGGCAAUGACACCCAAUAAACAGAGAAACAAAGGGCCGUGAAGGGCACUGGGAAGUCCGGAAAGUGCCACGAAGAAACGGGAAGCAGCUGCCCGAAUGGACUAAGACAGGCGGAGUUCUGGCCAAUGGAGGGGCAUGGAAGACGGGCCACCACAGUACCACACGGUAAUGCAACUCAGAGCAAGACGUAAGGGGCUGCUGAAUUCCAUCCCAGGAACGUGCGGAAGGAGGUGGCUCUGGUGCUCUGCUUUUGAGAGAAGAAGGAGGUCUCAGAAGCCAUGUGUUGAAGAUGACAGAGUCUGCAUUUGAAGAACUGUGUGGCCAAGAGCUCCACCCCCACCUGCCAGAACUGGACCUGCCGGGGACUGUCAAUAUGAGUGAGAAAUAAACUCAACUGUGUUUAUGCCAUUAUUAUUCUUGGACUUGUUGCAGCAUUAACUUACCCUGAUAAUACAGAGAACCACAAAGCUUGCAGGCCACAGGAUCUCUCAGCUGCCGUCUCCAGUUAGUCUGACACCUGUUCAGCAGUUUCAGCUCCCGGCCUGUAUCAGACGUGGAACCUGAACUUCUUGGAGAACAGUGCCCAUUUCGCUAGGCACAAACCAAGUCACUUUCCUCAGAUGACCAGGCUGUGGUGGCCUGAUGUCCCAUCUUGGGGAGCUAGGUCCCUGUAAAGUGCUUUGUCCACCCUUGAAGCUGGCCUACUUGCUCCUACCUGGGAUGUUGACCUCAGCUAGGACCACCUUUCUCCAAAGAGGUGGUACCCCUGUGUUUGAAGCCUGUUGUGAUCUUACGUCCCUGCCAAUGCACAAAAGACACCACCCUAGGCGAGGCUGGCUCAGAGAACACCAAGGAGGGCAGACAGGAAUGGGUUUCUCAGCUGCUGGCGGCCUGUGGCUGCCACUUAAGGCUGGACAUCCCUCCUUCUUGAGGAGGCUGGCUGCUGCGGUGGCAGGGGCUCGAAAAUGAUUAUGAAGGCUCUCUCGUCUCUGGGGAAGCCUAGAAAUGUUGGGUAUCUUUGACACAAGGGCCACUCAAAUCAGUUAAAACAAAACAAGGGGGCUCUAUUGGAAAGACACUGAGGAAAGCCCCAGAGAGUGGCAGCAACGGGGGUGUCUCUGAAGACCUCGGAAGCUGGAGUCAGGGAGGCGACGCCCCCGCUUCCAUGCCUUCAGCAGCUCCAGGCUGUGUCCUCCAGCCCCAUCACCUAGAGGUGACAGCCUUGGCAGAGAAGCCUCAGGGAGGUUCUGAUGGGUCUGGCUUGGCAAUCACCAGAGCCAGGAGAAGGGCUGUAGCCUGGGGCAGAGUCUGAGUGGAAGAAAUAAAGCUUUGCUUUCAUUAAAAUUCAGAAACAGCCAG
This is a long non-coding RNA of Equus caballus (horse), 1641 nucleotides long. NCBI's taxonomy places the organism in Eukaryota, Metazoa, Chordata, Mammalia, Perissodactyla, Equidae. The record is from Ensembl.